Long non-coding RNA from Sipha flava (yellow sugarcane aphid), 1095 nucleotides. RefSeq lists it as uncharacterized. The record is from RefSeq and is a predicted model, not a curated record. The transcript has 5 exons. Lineage: Eukaryota; Metazoa; Arthropoda; Insecta; Hemiptera; Aphididae.
GCAUGUCUUGUUUAAAUAAUAAUUGUCUAAAAUAUUAUGUCAAAAUAGCUUACAGAUUCUGAUGAUGUAGACUUCUAUUAUUGAAUAUUUUAUUAUUAAUUUGUUAUACGGUUACUUAUGUACUCAAGUAUAGGAAAGACGGUUGUAAAGCAAUACCAUUAAUCUAAAUAAUACAUUUUAUUUUGGUUUUUUAUUUAAAAUAUAUUGUGUUUAUGCUCAGUUGAAUAAAAUACAUAUUUUACAGGGUCUACAGUUUUUAAAGUUCUGUUUAGAUAUUAUGUGUUUCAUUGUUUAUUAUAAGUGAGAAAUUAUUUUAAUUGUUUAAAUUUUUAUUAAGGUCCAGAAUUGCUACAUACUGUCCAAAACAGUCAAUAUAGCUUUAUACAAACUGUUGGAGUACAGAAUGUCAGAACUGGUAAAAGACAAUUUAAGAUUCAUGUACUACAAGAAGAAAACAAUGGCCAUUAAAGUCUAUUCAGAAUGUUUUGAACAAGAUGUUAAGACCAAUGACAUGCUAUGACAAAUAUAUCACCAAGCAAAAUUAAGAUAGGUUUUUCUCAUCAAAUCCUGUUGUAUCUUACAAUAUUAAUAUUAAAUUGCAUUAUUUUGACAAAAUAGUAUAAUUGAAAAAACAUUGGACAGAAUAGUACAUUAAUUUACCUCUCAUUGUGAGAUGAACAUGUGAACAAUAAUAUAACUAGAAGAUUCCCAUCACUGAAAAUGUCUGCAAAGUACUAACAAUUAAAGUGUUUAAGACUAUUGGUAGAUACAAUAAAAGACAACAGACCUUACAAAAUCUAUCAUACAGAUUUAAUCAGUUUUCUAGUAGAAAAUGGAAUCAUCAUGGAGGACAACUAUUCAAAACAAUUUAAACACAGCUUGAGAUAUAUUUAAAAUGAUUUAAUGAAAAUUUUCAUGCAUUGGUCAAUAUACCUAAUCAUAGAAUGAGUCGGAAUAAGGAAACAAGGAAAAUACCUAAUUAUUUCUGUGUAUUCUAUCAGUCACCAUAUAUCAUUUAGAGAAUCUAAAAGGAAAAUUAAUAUUCAGUUUGUAUUUUUCAUUAUAAGGAAAUAUGAAGAAAAUUAAAUUGAACUU